RNAcentral lists this ribosomal RNA (259 nucleotides) under uncultured bacterium. RNAcentral describes it as "partial 16S ribosomal RNA". It matches the Rfam family "Bacterial small subunit ribosomal RNA", at positions 524 to 776 of the family's 1533-position model. The record is from RNAcentral.
UACGAAGGGGGGCUAGCGUUGUUCGGAAUUACUGGGCGUAAAGCGUGCGCAGGCGGCUUCUCAAGUCAGGGGGUGAAAGCCCAGAGCUCAACUCUGGAAUUGCCUUUGAGACUGAGUGGCUUUGAGUACGAGAGAGGUGAGUGGAAUUCCCAGUGUAGAGGUGAAAUUCGUAGAUAUUUGGGAAGAAACACCGGUGGCGAAGGCGGCUCACUGGCUCGUAACUGACGCUCAUGCACGACAGCGUGGGGGAUCAAACAGG